UACGGAGGAUGCAAGCGUUAUCCGGAAUGAUUGGGCGUAAAGCGUCCGCAGGUGGCUAUGUAAGUCUGCUGUUAAAGAGUGAGGCUCAACCUCAUAAAAGCAGUGGAAACUACAUGGCUAGAGUGCGUUCGGGGCAGAGGGAAUUCCUGGUGUAGCGGUGAAAUGCGUAGAGAUCAGGAAGAACACCGGUGGCGAAAGCGCUCUGCUAGGCCGCAACUGACACUCAGGGACGAAAGCUAGGGGAGCGAAUGGG
This 253-nucleotide ribosomal RNA is filed under the name uncultured bacterium. Its description in RNAcentral is "partial 16S ribosomal RNA". It matches the Rfam family "Bacterial small subunit ribosomal RNA", at positions 524 to 776 of the family's 1533-position model. The record is from RNAcentral.